Molecule: ribosomal RNA, 373 nt
Filed under: uncultured organism
Description: partial 16S ribosomal RNA
Rfam family: Bacterial small subunit ribosomal RNA
Source: RNAcentral
GUAGGUGGCAAGCGUUGUCCGGAAUUAUUGGGCGUAAAGCGCGCGCAGGUGGUUCUUUAAGUCUGAUGUGAAAGCCCCCGGGCUCAACCGGGGAGGGUCAUUGGAAACUAGGGAACUUGAGUGCAGGAGAGGAAAGUGGAAUUCCACGUGUAGCGGUGAAAUGCGUAGAUAUGUGGAGGAACACCAGUGGCGAAGGCGACUUUCUGGCCUGUAACUGACACUGAGGCGCGGAAGCGUGGGGAGCAAACAGGAUUAGAUACCCUGGUAGUCCACGCCGUAAACGAUGAGUGCUAAGUGUUGGGGGGUUUCCGCCCCUCAGUGCUGCAGCUAACGCAUUAAGCACUCCGCCUGGGGAGUACGGUCGCAAAGACUG